ACAGAAAAAGCAGGAAAUAAAACAAGACAACACUAUUAACAUAACAUCAGUACGGGAAAGGAGGCAAGGGAAAUAAAGUGAAAAAAAGAUCACGCUGAUGGGAAGAAACCAGAAAGCCUCCCAUCUCAGGAAGUUGCUUAGUUUUAAUUUGCUCAGAGGAAAGGCUGGGUUAGGCUAAUGCAUCUUGGUGAGGGCAAAGCCCAAACAAGCAUGGACAGGAAUGAACUGUGAGAAAAGGCUUAAUCACCCGCAGCAGGGACACCAACUUUCAAGAAGAGUGACAGUGUCUCAAUGGGAAAACUAAAAAGAUGAAUGUUAUUCGAAGACAGCCUGAAAAUAGCAGCAACCACAUCAAUGGAGACAAGCCAGCCAGAUGUAGUGGAUCCAGAAGCAAGAGUCUCAGUAACUGUCUCAACUGUUUUUGUCUUCUCAAUCACCAUCUUCCCAGUUAAGGUUCAGACUGAGAAACUGGUUUUCUUACAGGUAAGAAAAGAUGAAGAGACCCCAGACUACUUAUAGAACAGCUUAUGUUUGAAUCACUGACUCUCAAGCUCCAGGUAAGUAUUUUUUAAGGAUUUUUCUAAGAUUCUUUAACUCUGCUGUCAAAAGCUAAAAUUUUACCUUGUAGUUCAGACCAAUGUGAACCACUCAAAUGUGGCAUUUUAACAGCAGACAAUUUAGCUUCUCCUUAUUUUGACCACAGUGCUAUAAAUAUUUCUGUUUAUAACAAGUGUGCAAUGGAGAUGAAGAAACCUAUUAAUAAUGCUGCAGCAGCAAACACCGACUUAACGUUUUAUCUUAGGUGGGAUAAACAUCUUUAUGUAGUGUGGUUAUCUGUCAUAACUACAUUCUCAUAAUUCUAGGGUAAAAAUAACUUUGGGCUAACCAAACAGAAAGCUAAGGGAAACCAACUUGUUGCAUAACGAAACAAACAAACAAACAAACAAAAAAACCCGAUUUUUAAAUGACAGAGUACCUGGUAUUAAUUUAGUAGUGUGGGAAGAUAAUGAUAAUCCCACCUUCACUGAACUGCUCUGCUAGUCCUUCUGUGACGGCUGAACACCUGCCAGUAAAUCAAACAGACUCCCACCUAGUCAUUAUGGAAUCACCCAGGGAAAGGGGAGGGUGCAGGGGACAAACACACAAGCAAGUCCCUACAGCAGUGAAGUGGACACAUGGCCACCAAGAGGAGGGCGCAAUACAAAGAACAAUAUUGAUGUCGCAUCUUUCGUCCCCAUUGGUGGGAAGCAGAGGCAGACUGGUCUGCCUAGUGAGUUUCAGCCUGCCAGAGCUACAUAGCAAAAUCCUGUCCCGAAACAAGAGAAGACAAUGAACUUAAGGGAGGUGGUGGUGGGAGGCAGGGCGAGCAGGCUGCUCAUUUGAAGGAAUGUUUCUGUUUGCGUGACGCAGGCUCUGAAUCUGAGCUGGUUUCAAGUGCACUAAAUCUUCCCGCCUCAACUAUUGUGUUCCAUGAGCCUCAGCCCAGCUGAGGAAUUUAACUUCUUAAAGGAUUUUAACAGGCACAGUCGUUUUGUGGAAAUGCCCUCUUGCAUAAUUCAGCAAGGUGUGUAAGUCCUUACCACCUCCAUACUUCAUCUCCAACGGCAAUACUUUUGGUUUGCGAGACAGGGAGGAUUUCAGUUAUUUCAUCCAGUCAUUCCAAAAUGACAUAUGGUGUAGAAAAAUCUACCUUUAGACAUGCAGGCUCAGGUGUUCACGGGAUAUAGUGAAGAUGUCUAAAAUUAGCUGCAAAUGUAGGCAAUUUGAGGGGAGGGAGAGAGACAGCAGGUGAUCAGCUAGACAGUUUCAUGUACACCGCACAAAGACCAGGGGUGAGGCUAGGAGGGCUCGGUCAAAACAUACCAGUAUUGUUUCAGCGAACAAAACACAUACAACACACUACAAAGCAGCCUGAAGGACCGACCCAUCAGAGAGAAUGGGAAAACUCACAACACAGUGACACUAUCCUAGUGAGUGAGUGUAACCAUCACAGGGAGGGUACCACUGUCCCAGAGAGAAUGUCUCUAUCACAGGGAAGGCGCUGCUAUUACAAACCGAAUGUCACCACCAUAGAGAAGGUGUCACUACCAGAGGGGUUGGAUGUACAGUUAAACCAAUGUAAAUGUAAGAACGUCAAAGAAACACUCUUUACCCAGGGACUGUAGGUCUAACAUCUCUGGCACCAGAGACCUGGCACCAAAGGCCCUUUGCUGUCUUUUAUAUUUAUGUGACACUGGAGGGUAACUUUACUUACUUCAGGGCCUUCAUUAUAUCACAUACAAAGACGAUGAAGUUACUUCUAUUUGGCUAACAUGGGAGAAAUUUACAUGUUUGUGCUACAACUGCUAGACUAUAGUUAAAAAUCAGUUCAUAAGGAAAGGGUUUCCAGUUUCCCCGCUCAGGUCUACGGCGUUUUUGCUACAGAUUCUCACUAAAUGAGAGGAAACAUUAGUCAUUUCCUGUUGCAUAUGUAGAUGAUCAUGAACUUCUAGACAAACUGAACAGUGCAGAUGAGGAACUUGCUCGGUCUCACAGUAGUGGGGAUUUCCACCUGGCUCUGGAGUAUAUAUCACUCUGUGGAGCUUGGGACCUCAAUGGUACAGAGUACCAUGCUCCUUGUCACCCAGCUCAGCACCAACCACUGUGCAGUGCCAUUCUAACCAUCGGGACAAAGAAACAGACCUAUGCUCCAUGGCUGGCAUUGCUGGAUGAAUGACAAUGAUGACAGUUGGGCUUGUUAACAUGUACUCUGGCACAAUACAUCAAGACUAAGAAGGAAAACCAUGAAGCCUGUCUUGGAGGUGACAACUGGCAAUCGAGACAGCAGUGUUGGCUUUGGUAUCUCGAGAAGGAAAGCCAAAUAGAAAGUGGCAAGGUCACAAUAGAAGACCUGGCCUAGGUGCUCAAUUCCAGAGAGUGGCGGAGUGAAGGCUCUCACUCUCAGCUGCCUGCCUACGAUCUCUACAAGAAUACCCAGGGCAAGGGGAGUAGGCCACUGGUCUCUUCUGAACAGAGGCAGAGGAAAGCCAGGGAAGAGUCCCUGCUUAACAUAUACUAAAUCACUUGGGCUUAAUUUCAUUCAUUGUAAUCUAAUAAUAAAUAUCUGGGGCACUCUUCCUGGGGAGUUGGAUUAAUUAUGACAUUCUAUGGACUGAGAUAGGUCAAAAAAAUUGAAAAUCCUUACAGCUUUCUGACAAGCCCACUUCAGGUAUGGCUGCAUGUUGGUCUUCAGAGUACAACCCAUUAUCCACUGAACUCUCAUCCAGUUCAGCCCCAAGGCUAGAGGAUUCAUCUGAACACUAAUUGGUCUCAACUGUAAUGGAAACAGUUUGCCUUCACUAUAGUGAAAUCUUUAGUACUGGGGAAAAAAAAAGUAUUUGUGUGACCCAUUUUUAUUAGUUGCCUACUCAAUAUACACUAUACCUUUCUUUGUAAAACAUCAAUUUUAUCUGGAGCCAGCAACUCUUGAACAUUCUGAAUGUAAGGACAGGAAAUUGGCUGGUGGAACUCAGGGAAAGCUCCUUUUCCACACAGGAGGCAAUGGUGACACAAUGGUCUUCUAACCUCAGUGCCCCUGGCUUGUGACACAAGCCUGAAGAUGGAAACUAUGUGUUAAGGAAAGUGAAACAGACAUACACCAAGGCUUGGGGCUUCUGUUACCAACUCCAGAGUUCCUAACUCAACUUCUUUUUGGGUAUGUAUAUGUACAGAGUACACAUCUGUGCAGCCGCAAGCUAGCGUCCAGGCCAAUCACUCUACCCGAUUUUAAGAGACAGGGUCUUUCACUGAAUGUGGAACUCAUCGACUAGCUGGACUGGCUGAUCAGUGAAACCCGGGAUUCUCAUGGCUCUGCUUCUGCUGCACCAGGACUAAGGUGCAUGCCACCAAGUCUAGUUCUCACCUGAACAAUAGCUAGGGGUCAACAUACAAGAAUGUGUGUGUAUCGUAUGUGCCUGGUGCCCACAGAAGAUGGCAUCACCUCUUUCAGAAGUGGAGUUACAGAUGGCUGUGAGCCACCCUGUGGGUGCUGGGAAUCAAAACGGGGCCCUCUGUGAAAGCAGCAAGUACUAUUAAGGGCUGAGCGUCUCUCCCCAUCAUUUUUAGUUAACCUUAAUAUGUAGUGUUGCCACCACAGG
Cricetulus griseus (Chinese hamster) is the source of this 4136-nucleotide non-coding RNA. NCBI's taxonomy places the organism in Eukaryota, Metazoa, Chordata, Mammalia, Rodentia, Cricetidae. The record is from RefSeq and is a predicted model, not a curated record.